AUCACUUCUUGGCUUUUUGGCUAAGAUCAAGUGUAGUAUCUGUUCUUAUCAGUUUAAAAUGACUAGCAUGGUGGGGUGCCUGGGUGGCUCAGUCAGUCAAGCGUUUGACCUUGGCUCAGGUCAUGAUCUCACAGUUAGUGGGUCUGAGCCCCAUGUCAGGCACUGUGCUGACAGCUCAGAGCCUGGAGCCUAC
Small nuclear RNA from Suricata suricatta (meerkat), 193 nucleotides. Its record names the gene U2. It matches the Rfam family "U2 spliceosomal RNA". From Rfam's summary of the family: U2 is a small nuclear RNA (snRNA) component of the spliceosome (involved in pre-mRNA splicing). Complementary binding between U2 snRNA (in an area lying towards the 5' end but 3' to hairpin I) and the branchpoint sequence (BPS) of the intron results the bulging out of an unpaired adenosine, on the BPS, which initiates a nucleophilic attack at the intronic 5' splice site, thus starting the first of two transesterification reactions that mediate splicing. The record is from Ensembl. NCBI's taxonomy places the organism in Eukaryota, Metazoa, Chordata, Mammalia, Carnivora, Herpestidae.